GACGGAGGGUGCUAGCGUUGUUCGGAAUCACUGGGCGUAAAGGGCGCGUAGGCGGCCUUGCAAGUCGGUUGGUGAAAGCCCGGGGCUCAACCCCGGAGGUGCGGCCGAGACUGCAGGGCUGGAGGCCGGAAGAGGAGGGUGGAAUACCCAGUGUAGAGGUGAAAUGCGCAGAUAUCGGGAGGAACACCAGUGGCGAAGGCGGCUAUCUGGACGGUUUCUGACGCUAAGACGCGAAAGCGUGGGGAGCAAACAGG
RNAcentral lists this ribosomal RNA (254 nucleotides) under uncultured bacterium. RNAcentral's name for it is "partial 16S ribosomal RNA". It matches the Rfam family "Bacterial small subunit ribosomal RNA", at positions 524 to 776 of the family's 1533-position model. The record is from RNAcentral.